Molecule: ribosomal RNA, 309 nt
Filed under: uncultured bacterium
Lineage: Bacteria
Description: bacterial SSU rRNA
Rfam family: Bacterial small subunit ribosomal RNA
Source: RNAcentral
GACGAACGCUGGCGGCGCGCCUAACACAUGCAAGUCGAACGAGCGAGAGAGAGCUUGCUUUCUCAAGCGAGUGGCGAACGGGUGAGUAACGCGUGAGGAACCUGCCUCAAAGAGGGGGACAACAGUUGGAAACGGCUGGUAAUACCGCAUAAGACCACAGCACCGCAUGGUGCAGGGGUAAAAGAUUUAUCGGUGUGAGAUGGAUCCGCGUCUGAUUAGCCAGUUGGCGGGGUAACGGCCCACCAAAGCGACGAUCAGUAGCCGGCCUGAGAGGGUGAACGGCCACAUUGGGACUGAGACACGGCCCAA